GUCAGGAUGGCCGAGUGGUCUAAGGCGCCAGACUCAAGAUUAUCAAUCUUUAUAGCGAGUGUUCUGGUCCACGUUUGUGGGCGUGGGUUCAAAUCCCACUUCUGAUA
RNAcentral lists this transfer RNA (107 nucleotides) under Dreissena polymorpha. It matches the Rfam family "tRNA". Rfam says of the family: Transfer RNA (tRNA) molecules are approximately 80 nucleotides in length. Their secondary structure includes four short double-helical elements and three loops (D, anti-codon, and T loops). Further hydrogen bonds mediate the characteristic L-shaped molecular structure. tRNAs have two regions of fundamental functional importance: the anti-codon, which is responsible for specific mRNA codon recognition, and the 3' end, to which the tRNAs corresponding amino acid is attached (by aminoacyl-tRNA synthetases). tRNAs cope with the degeneracy of the genetic code in two manners: having more than one tRNA (with a specific anti-codon) for a particular amino acid; and 'wobble' base-pairing, i.e. permitting non-standard base-pairing at the 3rd anti-codon position. Lineage: Eukaryota; Metazoa; Mollusca; Bivalvia; Myida; Dreissenidae. The record is from Rfam by way of RNAcentral.